Hippocampus zosterae (dwarf seahorse) is the source of this 2978-nucleotide long non-coding RNA. RefSeq lists it as uncharacterized. The transcript has 6 exons. The record is from RefSeq and is a predicted model, not a curated record. NCBI's taxonomy places the organism in Eukaryota, Metazoa, Chordata, Actinopteri, Syngnathiformes, Syngnathidae.
GCAAAAAUUCUUUGUAAUUGAUUAAUCGAAAAAAAAAAUCCAUCUAUUAUCUGAGCAGCUACCCUCAUCGACAAAUACCGAAUCUUGAAUUAAGUUGCAGCUUUACUGCCUGAUUGCUGAUUUUUAAUUUCUUUAAAAAUUCUUAACACAGCGUGUAAUUUUUUUGCAAAUUUUGCUAAACUCGGAGAAAUGUGUUUUAUUGUGCCAGAUUGAUUGGUCAAUAGACAACGUCAAUGGUGUGUUUUUCCCUGUAUAUGUUGUAGUGGUUGAACCCAUUGAUCAACCAGCGGAUGAGUCUGCAUCUACGUUGAAAGCUUGGUGUUGAUUAAUCACAAAUUUAGUUUUUCUCGAGUCUUCCAGUCGGUCAGUUCAAAGAGGAUUUACGACUUGCCUUUCGAGCAUGGUGAACAAAUACCUUUUUUUUUUUCACGGUUUUUGCUUCUAUGCCUGUUUGUCGAAACACUGUAUCUCUCGACGUGACACCGCUAAGUGGCACAAUAAAGGUUGGGGACCGUUGCACUGUGCUGAUAAAAUAGCAAUGACAUUAUUGAUUCAUCAAAUUCAAAUUGUCUCGCAUCACAUUAAAGUCGACGACAUAAAAAAAAAUGGUUAUUUGUUCAACCCCUAGUAUAGUGCAAGAUUUGGUGUCCACAAUACUUCUUGAAGCUACAUCAGGUUGAAAGGGGAGUGUCGAGGCACAGCCAUUUUCACGUCUUUCCCAAUUCCAGAUUUGAGCACGACUAACAAUAAGCCCAAAAAAGGAAUGAUCCAACUACAUAACAAAAUGCAGACAAAGAUGUGACGUGCUUUCAAAGCUUUCCAGAUGCACUGUUAAACCACGUCUUCCAUUUUUUUUGAAAGCUUUUUAUUCAGCCGAAUGUAUUUUGUCGUGACCGGUGCAGGCCUCUUCAGGCCCGCGUGUCGGAAAGGAACGUUUACAAGCCGUGAUGAUGCAAUUCUGUUUCACACAAUUUUGUAUAUUUAAUAAAGACUAUUUAGUGUAUCUUCCUCACUGUAUCUUUCUCUGUGCUGUGUCUUUUCUCAUGUUUUCUUACCGUAUACUCAGUUUUCAAGCGGAAUUACAGCCACACGGGUCAGAACAUUGUCUCGACAGGAAAUACCAUAGUAUCACAUUUAAAUUUUAAUUUAUAAAAACGUUUGUAGAAUAUGACAAAAAUCACUACGGGGAUAAAGAAGUGUUCCUGGCUGCUCUUUAAAAAAAGAACUCCGCAUGUUAUCACAAUAAACUAACUUAUUUGUCCCUAAUAACUGUUAGUUUGGUGAAUAGCCAAAUGCAAGGACUUCACUACCCAUAAUGCACCUCGCCAUUGUGAAGGCAGCCUAAACUGAAAAUAUUAAGUGAAUAGUAUCACCGAACAGUUUUUUAAUACGAAGUAAUAUGAUGUAAUAUUCUAGUUGUCAAUGAAAAUCGCCACGUUUCUUUUAAAUGUAGUCGGAAACCUCCCGGUAAAACCGAUUGGCAACAGCAGUGUGUAAAGAACUACAUUACCCACAAUGCACAUUGGUGAGAAGUUUUUAUUUUUCGGUGACAAAACUAAAAUUGUUGCCAAACGACGAUUUUGUUCGUCACCAAAACAGUAGUAGUCAUAGAACAUGACAAUAGUUUGGCAGGAUGUUCAACUACCGGUAGGCGUCGUUGGAACGAGCCAAAUAUUCACGUUAGCUUGGAUAUGGAGGAAGAACCACUGAACAACCGAGUCCAAUGAAAAUCCAGGUCGAGGAAUCACUUAACCAGAAUGCAUUUCGGUAGCGCGCCUUUCUUCAGAUUCAACAAACGAAUAUGGAUUUUAAAACACGGGAAUAUCUUGACAGAAGAGGAAAAUACUUUACCUUCUUUUUGUGACACGUCCCAUUCGGAGCAGGGCUGUGAGGGAAUGAUGCGACCGAAUGGUGGGGGUGUGCUGUCCUCUGACAGGAAUAGCGACAUGAUGAGUCCUCCGAGGUGACGUCGAUGUCCUCGGAGCUGGUCUGCUUGGUGGCCACGCGCCACCUGUUGAUGUGGUGGUUGCCCUUCUUCUUCUGCUGCUGGGCGUCCGGUCCGUCUUCCUCCAGCUUCUGCCGCUUGUACUUGGUCCGCCGGUUCUGGAACCACACCUUCACCUGCGCACACGCCAGCCACACGCUUCAGCGAGGCCCGCUCCAGGCGCAGCAACUGCGACGGCGAGAAGGCGGUUCGGAUCCGCUUGGGCUUCCGGGCGAAAGGGCCGUGGAGGAGUAGGCCGUCCUGGGACGCGUCGUGACCUACCGGGCCGGGACGACACACACACCCGAACUGCCAUUACGGCUCAUUCCAGCCUUGCUUACGGACCGCCAUUACGGCUCCGAGUCGCUGAACAGCCCGGAGAUGUUGCUUGAAAAGUCAACAGUGCCCCAAGUCCUCCUUGAUGCCAAAGCGUUCGUCUAUACGCAAGACUGCACAAGUGAGAGCGUGCAUUGGGGCGAGAGGGGGUUUGCGGCUUACCACCACCCCCUACCCGCGCGAACAGUGAUUGGAUCGCGGGACCUGCCAAUCAAGAGCUCUUAGGUGAAGAUUACUGACAUGGAAACCUUGCCAGCGUGUCGCCUUUGUGCUCCGUCGUCUGCGCUCCGGCGUCGCCAAUUAGCCGCUCCGAUGCACUCUGUUCCUCGCAACGUCUUAUCCCGGCACAUGCGGCUGAUGUGUCUCUGGUCGCCCGCAGGAGGCCCCAAACCAGUUGGCCGUUUUACAUCCGGCCCACUUCACUUUAUUAGCUACACCUGCGCCGCAUGCCGGAGAGCAUUUGACUGCUUGGAGACAAUUCAAGGAGCUCCUUAGAGAUGACUUUUUUCAUUUGUUUGGUCACCCAAAUGACCACGAACGCCUUCUUGGCCAUUUACUAUGCGAUUAAUUUUGUGUUAGCUUCUACAUUCUCCUUGUGAGUGUUUUCAUUUCCAUUUGUCCUAUUCAAAGACAACGGCAUAAAGUGCGUUUGUGACCC